UGCAGUCGAACGGUUGUAGCAGUACAGCAGUGGCAGACGGGUGAGUAACACGUGGGAACCUACCUAGGGGUACGGAAUAACUCAGGGAAACUUGUGCUAAUACCGUAUACGACCUUCGGGUGAAAGAUUUAUCGCCCCUAGAUGGGCCCGCGUUGGAUUAGCUAGUUGGUGGGGUAAAAGCCUACCAAGGCGACGAUCCAUAGCUGGUCUGAGAGGAUGAUCAGCCACACUGGGACUGAGCCAGGGUCAAACCUUCAACGGGAGGCAGCAGUAGGGAAUCUUGGACAAUGGGCGAAAGCCUGAUCCAGCCAUGCCGCGUGAGUGAUGAAGGCCUUAGGGUUGUAAAGCUCUUUCGCCAGGGAAGAUAAUGACGGUACCUGGAUAAGAAGCCCCGGCAAACUUCGUGCCAGCAGCCGCGGUAAUACGAAGGGGGCUAGCGUUGUUCGGAAUUACUGGGCGUAAAGCGCACGUAGGCGGUUUUCCAAGUUGGAGGUGAAAUCCCUGGGCUCAACCCGGGAACUGCCUCCAAAACUGGAUGACUCGAGUCCGAGAGAGGUGAGUGGAAUUUCCAGUGUAGAGGUGAAAUUCGUAGAUAUUGGAAAGAACACCAGUGGCGAAGGCGGCUCACUGGCUCGGUACUGACGCUGAGG
RNAcentral lists this ribosomal RNA (650 nucleotides) under uncultured bacterium. Its description in RNAcentral is "bacterial SSU rRNA". It matches the Rfam family "Bacterial small subunit ribosomal RNA", at positions 56 to 751 of the family's 1533-position model. The record is from RNAcentral.